This 778-nucleotide long non-coding RNA is filed under the name Pan troglodytes (chimpanzee). RNAcentral's name for it is "lincRNA". The record is from RNAcentral. Lineage: Eukaryota; Metazoa; Chordata; Mammalia; Primates; Hominidae.
GUGACCCUGCAAUUAAAACCCCCGCGCUGCAGCAUCGCGGAAAACGGGAUUCGCAUAAUUUGAAAUUUGAGGAAAAUCUCUAAAUACUUUAAUUUUGAUAGAAACUAUUUCCACUGCUGACAUGUGUCUACACCUAUAAUUUCAGUUGAUAAAUUGCUGUAAUUUCUCCUCCAUUUCAUGUUCUUUCGAACAUUAAUUGUCAGUUGCAGGGAAGGAACUUCUAAACUGAAAGCUGGCAAGACUCAGCAGAAAAAAAAUAUCAAAAGCUGCUUCUGCUGCCCCAGCUUCACUCAGGCCCUGGCUGCUCCUUCACGGGUCUACACUGCUACCUCCUGGAACCACCCACUCUGCAACCAGCCGUGAGGGGUGAGGCUCGCUCGGAAGCUCCCAGAACCUGGAGGCUGCCCUCACUCAACACUUGAACAAGCAAGGGGCCAGAUUCAAUGAAACACCUGCCCGCCCGGCACACCAGGCUCAAAAGCAAGCAAGCAAGCAAACAAACAAACAAAAUCAAAUCAGGCCUUCACAACUCCCCAAAUCAUGUGUGAGUUUCUACAGAGCAGAAGCCAAAAAUAUAUGUUAUCUAACUAGGUCCUAUUUACAUAUAUUUUUAUGGCUGCUUUAAAAAAUUAUCACAAACAUAGCGGCUUCACCCCGUUUCCCCUGUUGUGAUUAUUACAGAUUGGAUGCCUGUAUCAAAAUAUCUCAUGGACCCCAUAAAUAGCAACACCCUGUAUGUACUCAUGACAAUUUUUUAAAAAAGAACACUUACACUUUC